Molecule: transfer RNA, 67 nt
Filed under: Aphthona strigosa
Lineage: Eukaryota; Metazoa; Arthropoda; Insecta; Coleoptera; Chrysomelidae
Description: tRNA-Ile
Source: RNAcentral
UAUAGGAUGCCUGAUUAAAGGGUAAUUUUGAUAGAAUUAAUCAUGUGAUUUUUCACUCUUAUAAUUA